CAGGCGCGCAAAUUACCCAAUCCCGACACGGGGAGGUAGUGACAAUAAAUACUGAUACAGGGCUCUUUUGGGUCUUGUAAUUGGAAUGAGUACAAUUUAAAUCCCUUAACGAGGAACAAUUGGAGGGCAAGUCUGGUGCCAGCAGCCGCGGUAAUUCCAGCUCCAAUAGCGUAUAUUAAAGUUGUUGUGGUUAAAAAGCUCGUAGUUGAACCUUGGGCCUGGCUGGCCGGUCCGCCUCACCGCGUGUACUGGUCCGGCCGGGCCUUUCCCUCUGUGGAACCCCAUGCCCUUCACUGGGUGUGGCGGGGAAACAGGACUUUUACUUUGAAAAAAUUAGAGUGCUCCAGGCAGGCCUAUGCUCGAAUACAUUAGCAUGGAAUAAUAGAAUAGGACGUGUGGUUCUAUUUUGUUGGUUUCUAGGACCGCCGUAAUGAUUAAUAGGGACAGUCGGGGGCAUCAGUAUUCAAUUGUCAGAGGUGAAAUUCUUGGAUUUAUUGAAGACUAACUACUGCGAAAGCAUUUGCCAAGGAUGUUUUCAUUAGUCAGGAACGAAAGUUAGGGGAUCGAAGACGAUCAGAUACCGUCGUAGUCUUAACCAUAAACUAUGCCGACUAGGGAUCGGACGAUGUUAUUUUUUGACUCGUUCGGCACCUUA
Molecule: ribosomal RNA, 655 nt
Filed under: uncultured eukaryote
Lineage: Eukaryota
Description: SSU rRNA
Rfam family: Eukaryotic small subunit ribosomal RNA
Source: RNAcentral